CCCACAGAGCCCAUUACUCCUGCUAAACAGGUGUGCCAAAGCAUCCAAAGCUAAAGAAAGAAACAGUUGCGAGCGAGUUGAACCGGAGGGCAGUCCUAAAGCAAUAUCCAGAGGAAUUCUGAAUUCGCUACAAAGAAAAUAUUGAAUCUACAACUCCAUCUUACCAUGCUGGCGGAAUAUGAUAAG
Long non-coding RNA from Hyla sarda, 186 nucleotides. RefSeq lists it as uncharacterized. NCBI's taxonomy places the organism in Eukaryota, Metazoa, Chordata, Amphibia, Anura, Hylidae. The record is from RefSeq and is a predicted model, not a curated record. The transcript has 3 exons.